GAUGAACGCUGGCGGCGUGCCUAAUAUAUGCAAGUCGAGCGAACGGACGAGAAGCUUGCUUCUCUGAUGUUAGCGGCGGACGGGUGAGUAACACGUGGAUAACCUACCUAUAAGACUGGGAUAACUUCGGGAAACCGGAGCUAAUACCGGAUAAUAUUUUGAACCGCAUGGUUCAAAAGUGAAAGGCGGUCUUGCUGUCACUUAUAGAUGGAUCCGCGCUGCAUUAGCUAGUUGGUAAGGUAACGGCUUACCAAGGCAACGAUGCAUAGCCGACCUGAGAGGGUGAUCGGCCACACUGGAACUGAGACACGGUCCAGACUCCUACGGGAGGCAGCAGUAGGGAAUCUUCCGCAAUGGGCGAAAGCCUGACGGAGCAACGCCGCGUGAGUGAUGAAGGUCUUCGGAUCGUAAAACUCUGUUAUUAGGGAAGAACAUAUGUGUAAGUAACUGUGCACAUCUUGACGGUACCUAAUCAGAAAGCCACGGCUAACUACGUG
Molecule: ribosomal RNA, 497 nt
Filed under: uncultured bacterium
Lineage: Bacteria
Description: partial 16S ribosomal RNA
Rfam family: Bacterial small subunit ribosomal RNA
Source: RNAcentral